Molecule: non-coding RNA, 30 nt
Filed under: Mus musculus (house mouse)
Lineage: Eukaryota; Metazoa; Chordata; Mammalia; Rodentia; Muridae
Source: RNAcentral
UGAGUAGACGUCUCCACAACAUUCAGUUGU